This 989-nucleotide long non-coding RNA is filed under the name Jatropha curcas. RNAcentral's name for it is "long non-coding RNA (JCUR_LNC000846)". Lineage: Eukaryota; Viridiplantae; Streptophyta; Magnoliopsida; Malpighiales; Euphorbiaceae. The record is from RNAcentral.
CUCGCUAUAUUAUUAGGAUAAAAAAAUUUUAUAGACACCAUUUCCCAUCUAACUUAGGCUAGGUUGCGUGUUAGCUACCAUUACGGCUCUUUUUGUAUAACCCCAGUGUCUACGUGACUAUAUAUCUUAAUGUUAUUGCUUUUUUUUUUUUAACGACCCAAUAUCUGAAAUAAUUCGAAUAGAGUUUUCUUUUUCUUUUUAAUCUCCAUUUGGGGUUUGUCUCCGUUAAUAAUUAUUUCUUAGAAGAGGUAAUAUUUUUUCUUUUCUUUUUUUUUUAUGCCUUUGGAUAUUAAGGAUCGAACCGAGAAUAGUAUUUUGGUAAUACUUUGUCGAUAAUAAUUUUACUGAUAAAGUUCGAUUUAAGGAACUGCUAUUCUAAGGGUAUUAUGUUGAGAGUAAUAUUUGUUUUCUCUUUUCCUUCGGGGAUUUUUUUUUUUAAUUAAAUUAAAAAAAGUGAGAGUAUGCAAUUAGUCACUAACACCUUUCUCACCGUCCAAUAAUGCUUCACAUGACCACACGUCUUUAUAUAAGUGAUUACAACGUGGCAAAAAGGGAUUGGAGAGAUAUGCCUCGGUUCAUGAGGAAGGAUUAUUAUAAGUGGUUAGUGCACGCCAGAAUCUUUUAUGUGGGUUGGAGAUGGAGAUAGUGGAGUCGCUUGGUUUUGAAGUUUGUUUUAUUAUUUUGUGUGUGAGUAUGCACACAUUUUCUAAUUUCCAUUAUUGUUUUUUUUUUUCUUUUUUCCAAGUCUAUAAAGAUGAUGUAUGCACGUGCCAUUGCCGUGGUUUUAUUAUACAUUAAUUAAUUUCUAGAUCUACUUUCUCUCAUUGCCUUUCUCUUGGUCUUUCUUCCAAUAUAAGAUUAUUUUGUUCCUUAAUCUAAUUAAAGAUAUGGAUAUUUACAAAUUGCAUAGUAAAUUAGUAAUGAAUAAAUUCCGCUUUCUCUUCUCACAUUUUAUUGGUGAGCAAAUUUUAAUACAUAGUUGUUGGAAA